This 549-nucleotide ribosomal RNA is filed under the name uncultured Glomus. Its description in RNAcentral is "SSU rRNA". It matches the Rfam family "Eukaryotic small subunit ribosomal RNA", at positions 548 to 1098 of the family's 1831-position model. Lineage: Eukaryota; Fungi; Glomeromycota; Glomeromycetes; Glomerales; Glomeraceae. The record is from RNAcentral.
UUGGAGGGCAAGUCUGGUGCCAGCAGCCGCGGUAAUUCCAGCUCCAUUAGCGUAUAUUAAAGUUGUUGCAGUUAAAAAGCUCGUAGUUGAAUUUCGGGAUCAAAUAAUCGGUCGUGCCUCCGGUACGUACUGGUUUUAUUGGUUCCUCCCUUCUGACGAACCAUGAUGUCAUUAAUUUGAUGUGGUGGAGAAUCAGGACUGUUACCUUGAAAAAAUUAGAGUGUUUAAAGCAGGCUAACGCUUGAAUACAUUAGCAUGGAAUAAUGAAAUAGGACGUUCGACCCUAUUUUGUUGGUUUCUAGGAUCGACGUAAUGAUUAAUAGGGAUAGUUGGGGGCAUUAGUAUUCAAUUGUCAGAGGUGAAAUUCUUGGAUUUAUUGAAGACUAACUACUGCGAAAGCAUUUGCCAAGGAUGUUUUCAUUAAUCAAGAACGAAAGUUAGGGGAUCGAAGACGAUCAGAUACCGUCGUAGUCUUAACCAUAAACUAUGCCGACUAGGGAUCGGAUGAUGUUAAUUUUUUAAUGACUCAUUCGGCGCCUUACGGGAAAC